Molecule: signal recognition particle RNA, 315 nt
Filed under: Methanobacteriota archaeon
Lineage: Archaea; Methanobacteriati; Methanobacteriota
Also listed under: 3 other names
Description: Euryarchaeota archaeon signal recognition particle sRNA
Rfam family: Archaeal signal recognition particle RNA
Source: RNAcentral
GUGCGGGCUAGCCUGGGGGGUUAGGCGUCCUCUGCAACUCGAAAUCGCCGAUAUGCGAGAGGCGAAGCUCGAGGGAGGCACCGUAGCCAUCAGUUUCAGCUCGAUGUCUAACGAAGAAAUGUCGUCCUGCGGGGUUGACGGUGGUAUGGUGGCAAACUGGAGGGUUUGUUAUUGUGCCUUUAUUAUGGAUACCGGUUUAGGCCCGGAAGGGAGCGGACUCACCGUGGACGGUUGGCGCUCGCAGGGUAGCGAUGUGGAGGAGGACAUUGAGGGUCUGGCUGGUAGCGAACGUGUCGAUCAAGAGCGUGCCCGCAC